RNAcentral lists this transfer RNA (72 nucleotides) under Ictidomys tridecemlineatus (thirteen-lined ground squirrel). RNAcentral's name for it is "Spermophilus tridecemlineatus (thirteen-lined ground squirrel) tRNA". It matches the Rfam family "tRNA". Rfam says of the family: Transfer RNA (tRNA) molecules are approximately 80 nucleotides in length. Lineage: Eukaryota; Metazoa; Chordata; Mammalia; Rodentia; Sciuridae. The record is from Rfam by way of RNAcentral.
GGGGUUGUGGCUCAGUGUUAGAGCACUUGCCUAGCACGUGUGAGGCCCUGGGUUCGAUCCUCAGCAUCACAU